RNAcentral lists this small nucleolar RNA (137 nucleotides) under Oryza meridionalis. RNAcentral's name for it is "Small nucleolar RNA J26". It matches the Rfam family "Small nucleolar RNA J26". From Rfam's summary of the family: J26 is a member of the C/D class of snoRNA which contain the C (UGAUGA) and D (CUGA) box motifs. Lineage: Eukaryota; Viridiplantae; Streptophyta; Magnoliopsida; Poales; Poaceae. The record is from Rfam by way of RNAcentral.
UUUAAAAAAUCUUAACAAUGUGAGUAAGGUAGGAGACUCUAUUUUUUGAAUAAAGACAUGAGUUGUGUCCAUUAUAUUGAGAAGAAGUUGAUCAUAGAAACAAUUCAAGAAUAUUAUAAUAAGCGACUGAAUUUGCC